UUAAAGCAGAGGUUGGAUAACUAAACAUGGUCAAUGUCCUAGCCUUCUUGUUAAUUUUAAUUAGACCUACACAUGCAAGUUUCCGCUGCCCUGUGAGAAUGCCCUCAAAACUACUCAAUUCUCCAAGAUAAGAGGAGCUGGUAUCAGGCACACACUACUAGUAGCCAACUACACCUUGCUCAACCACACCCCCACGGGAAACAGCAGUGAUUAAAAUUAAGCUAUAAACGAAAGUUUGACUAAAUCAUAGUUAUCUAAGGGUUGGUAAAUUUCGUGCCAGCCACCGCGGUCAUACGAUUAACCCAAAUUAACAAGCCUCCGGCGUAAAGCGUGUCCAAACAAAAGACUAAUAAUAAAGUUAAUACUUAACUAAGUUGUAACACACUCCAGUUAAUACUAAGAUAAACUAUUAAAAUAACUUUAAUAAAGCUGAUACACGAAAACUAAGGUACAAACUGGGAUUAGAUACCCCACUAUGCUUAGUCAUAAACCAAAGUAGUUAGAUAACAAAACUACUCGCCAGAGAACUACUAGCUACUGCUUAAAACUCAAAGGACUUGGCGGUGCCCUAAACCCACCUAGAGGAGCCUGUUCUAUAAUCGAUAAACCCCGAUAUACCCAACCCCAUCUUGCCAAUACAGCCUAUAUACCGCCAUCGUCAGCCCACCUUAAAAAAGAUACAAAGUAAGCAAAAUUAUUUUUUCAUAAAAACGUUAGGUCAAGGUGUAGCAUAUGAUAGGGAAAGAAAUGGGCUACAUUAUCUAGCUUAGAUUACACGAAUCACAUUAUGAAAUCUAAUGUGCCUGAAGGAGGAUUUAGUAGUAAAUUAAGAAUAGAGUGCUUAAUUGAAUUAGGCAAUAGGGCGCGCACACACCGCCCGUCACCCUCCUCAACUCAACCUACAAAAAUACUUAAUAAUAUAUCUAAGUAAAGAGGAGAAAAGUCGUAACACGGUAAGUGUACUGGAAAGUGCACUUGGAAUAUCAAAAUG
Molecule: ribosomal RNA, 991 nt
Organism: Monodelphis domestica (gray short-tailed opossum)
Lineage: Eukaryota; Metazoa; Chordata; Mammalia; Didelphimorphia; Didelphidae
Rfam family: Bacterial small subunit ribosomal RNA
Source: Rfam